GACGAACGCUGGCGGCGUGCCUAAUACAUGCAAGUUGAGCGCUGAAGGUUGGUACUUGUACCAACUGGAUGAGCAGCGAACGGGUGAGUAACGCGUGGGGAAUCUGCCUUUGAGCGGGGGACAACAUUUGGAAACGAAUGCUAAUACCGCAUAAAAACUUUAAACACAAGUUUGAAGUUUGAAAGAUGCUAUUGCAUCACUCAAAGAUGAUCCCGCGUUGUAUUAGCUAGUUGGUGAGGUAAAGGCUCACCAAGGCGAUGAUACAUAGCCGCCCUGAGAGGGUGAUCGGCCACAUUGGGACUGAGACCCGGCCCAAACUCCUACGGGAGGCAGCAGUAGGGCAUCUUCGGCAAUAGACGAAAGUCUGACCGAGCAACGCCGCGUGAGUGAAGAAGGUUGUCGGAUCGUAAAACUCUGUUGGUAGAGAAGAACGUUGGUGAGAGUGGAAAGCUCAUAAAGUGACGGUAACUACCCAGAAAGGGACGGCUAACUACGUG
This 497-nucleotide ribosomal RNA is filed under the name uncultured bacterium. RNAcentral's name for it is "partial 16S ribosomal RNA". It matches the Rfam family "Bacterial small subunit ribosomal RNA", at positions 28 to 507 of the family's 1533-position model. The record is from RNAcentral.